GAGAGAGAGAGAGAGAGAGAGCGUUUCACGCAACCACAAAAAGGAGAGGCUGAUCCAUGCAGGUACAACCAGCAAACGAAAUAAGCUUUUUCCAAGAAACAGAAAGAAUAGAACAAUAUUGAUAUGACGCCGUCAAAUCCAUAUAUUAUCAAGUAGAGCAACUUGAUUUCUAUCUUUUGACAUCCACCCUUUCAUAAAUUAAGAUAUGGCCAAUACGGGAAAGAUAUUUCAUUUUUUAUAAUAAUUUUAUUUUUAACUAAGUACAACUUAAUUUGAAUGAUAAUCCAUU
RNAcentral lists this unclassified non-coding RNA (289 nucleotides) under Hevea brasiliensis (rubber tree). The record is from RNAcentral. Lineage: Eukaryota; Viridiplantae; Streptophyta; Magnoliopsida; Malpighiales; Euphorbiaceae.